GCUGGUAAUCCUGAAGCAAUGACUGAAGGAAACACAGACGUAAAUAGAAAUGAGUCCUGAGAUGAAUUCAAAGCAACCAACAAAAACACAGUGAACCGCACACAAAAACCAGAAAGAAUUUAAUAAUAUCAUUGUUUCAAAUACAGAUAAAACCUUUGGAAUAGAACCAGUGUUGCGCAACUCCUCUGUUUUACACAACUUGAUACCAGAAAAGAUUUCAUAUAUAAAACAACCUACGAAUUACAUCCAAAAAGGAAAAAACAAAUUAGAUUCUACAUUGUGCCCUCUAUAGAAGAAGUUAAGAAAAAGAAUACAAUACUCCAUAAAUUUAAUGCCCUAUCAGCCAACAAAUUUUAGGAUGCACAUGUUACAAUUCAAUGCAGUGCACAAGGAAGAAAGAAAUAUGAGUAACAGUUAAACAAACUUUACACAGUGAAACGUUUCUCUUACUUUGUAAAACUGUCUUGGAAGUGGAAGCUCACAAAAGCAGAAUCUUAUUGGAGAACAGAAAAGCAAAUGAAAAUGCAUAAUAUAUGCAAUUAAGGGAGUGAAAAAAAAAAAAGAAAAUAUUAGAGAAAAAUGAGUUGAGCCAUUAGAAAAUAUGGAAAAGGUGGCAGGGGACCGAAGAAGGAACCAAGGAAGACAGGAAAACAGUUAAAUAAAUUAUUAUGCGUGUAACUAGUUCCAAAGGAUCAAUGAACAGUCCUAAAGCUUUUCAAGGAUGAUUUCAAGAUGUAGAGGAAUUCCGCUGGGGGUUUUCUAGAGGAUCCAAAGAAUGAAAAAAGAUUCAAAUUCAUUUUUUUAGUACCACCAUGGGGUACUUAUGGGUGGGACAGCACCCCCUUAAAAAAUAAGAAUGUAACAUGUUUUUUUUCCCUGAAAUAAUAAAAUGUAAAGAGAAAAGAAUGUUUUCCCAAAGAAACUGAUCAUAUGUUUCUCCUGGAAUACAAAAUAUUACAUAAAUAAUAUUAAUUUGAUGGCAUUUGUUAUUGUCACAGUAUUACCUAAGCCUAACAGUGCUCAUUUGACAAUCCUAGAGAUGGAGUUGUCAAUGUAGAAAUAACAUCAUAUUCACAUAAACCUCUAUAAAAGGUGGGAAUAAACCUGUAAACAUCCCUGCAGGGAGUGGAAGGAAGAAGGAAUCUCUGGUGUAACUCAACUGAACUUAUAUUAUCUUUGCUCAAACAAAUAUCAGGGAGGCAGCAAUUUCAGUUUCAUGGAAAGAUAUUGCUACCCAUUUACACCAAAACAAAAAAGACAGGCCGCAGGUCUUACCCAAACCCCAGGAAUCAAUGGCCCAAGGUGGAGAUUUUCUGAUU
Molecule: unclassified non-coding RNA, 1319 nt
Filed under: Hevea brasiliensis (rubber tree)
Lineage: Eukaryota; Viridiplantae; Streptophyta; Magnoliopsida; Malpighiales; Euphorbiaceae
Source: RNAcentral